UACGGGGGGGGCAAGCGUUGUUCGGAAUUACUGGGCGUAAAGGGCGCGUAGGCGGCCUGGCAAGUGGAUGGUGAAAUCCCUCGGCUUAACCGAGGAACUGCCAUCCAGACUGCUUGGCUUGAGACCGGGAGAGGUGAGUGGAAUUCCCAGUGUAGCGGUGAAAUGCGUAGAUAUUGGGAGGAACACCAGUGGCGAAGGCGGCUCACUGGACCGGUACUGACGCUGAGGAGCGAAAGCGUGGGGAGCGAACAGG
RNAcentral lists this ribosomal RNA (253 nucleotides) under uncultured bacterium. RNAcentral's name for it is "partial 16S ribosomal RNA". It matches the Rfam family "Bacterial small subunit ribosomal RNA", at positions 524 to 776 of the family's 1533-position model. The record is from RNAcentral.